Micropterus salmoides (largemouth bass) is the source of this 1793-nucleotide long non-coding RNA. RefSeq lists it as uncharacterized. The record is from RefSeq and is a predicted model, not a curated record. The transcript is spliced from 2 exons. NCBI's taxonomy places the organism in Eukaryota, Metazoa, Chordata, Actinopteri, Centrarchiformes, Centrarchidae.
CGUGGCAUAUCAAGAAGCUGAUCAGACAGCAUGGGUGUUGCACAGGUGUGCCUUAGGCUGGCAACUCGGAAAUGUGCAGUCCCAUCACACAGCACAAUGGCACAGAUGUCACAAGUUUUGAGGGAGCCUGGCAUGCUGAAUGUCCACCGGAGCUGUUCCCCAUGAAUUAAAUGUUCAUUUCUCUACUAUAAGACCACUGGAGAGAUACUAGAGCAAUCCUUUAUUGCUCUCUAGUGGCCAAAAUUAGGAACAGUCCCCAGUAAGCCUUGAAGGGCAGUGUUUUUCAGUCUGGAGCGAUUUUACUAUGUGUAUAUAGGUGAAGAAAAGUCAACCAAAAGAACACCAGAAACCCUCCUUAACCUUAUUUGUAAAUUAAUUUUUUAUAAUUUUGUAAUUAAUUUCAGAAUAUUUUUUUGGUUUUGUUUUGUUUUACAUUAUUUCACAUUGAAGCUUAAUGUUAAGGUAUGUUGAGACUGUUUUUUUUCUGAAUCAGGACAAAAUAUCAAGCAUUAUUAUUAAAUAUCAGCGUUAUUUCAGGAGUCGAUAACUAUGACCUGGAUGACUGAGAACCUUCACAGACAUCAAAUAAUCCCAUACUUCUUUUUCAUCCCUCGCUAUUUUUUCUCUCUUCCUACACUUUGCAAAUACUUUCUCAAUGACUGUGAACAGUAACAUCAAGUUCACACGAGAAGAUGUCCACAACAGUUUGGCUUUCUUGGACUGUGCUGUACACAUUGAAGAGGACAGGAGCCUGCAAAUUUUACAGGAAACCCACACACACGGAUCAAUACUAUACGCAACAACAUUGUGAUUCAGACUUGGCCACGGGUGGCUCUAACGACCAUGACGAUUGUCGUUACAACAGCCAGGAGCACUAACGAAUCAGCGGUAUCAACGAUCCUAGCAAACAAUCCCACAGAGGUUAAAUAGCUGAGUUUCCCUACAGUCAGUCAGAACUGAUGAAGUCUCUUGGAUGAAAGGGACGAAACGUCUUGUAGUAUCUUCAACCAAGUCCAGUUGCCCUUGACCUCAACCUUCGUUGGAUAUGGGAUUAUUUCAAGCUAAAAGAAAACAACAACUGUGUGUAAUAUUACAGUCCGUCCACCAUAAAACGAAAAUUAUGUGGCCUACCGCAACAGCAUGGCGUAAUGUUACAGUCUAUCCAACGUAAAACGAAACUUACGUCACCGCAACAGCAGGAUGGCGCCUGAUCAAAAAGCACCCGGUGUUAUGCCAGCGGACCAUAGACAAGAUAACAGUAACAGCAACUUUAGCAUUUAACUGAAAUCAUGAUUGAUUUUUGAGUUGAGGCUAGCCAAAGUAAGCCGCAAUCCUCAGCUGAAACUGUUUACGUCUGCUGCGCGCGGCCACAUGUGUGAGAGGACAACAAACACUGGCAGCUGCUGUGCCAUUCAUCAUGAACUUUGACUUUAAAACUUCAUACAACAAGGUCCAAACAAAAGAAGGGCUGAACGCAAAAUAGCUAAGGUGUCCCAUUUUACUGGCGUCCUGUCCAGGGUGUACCAUGCCUUUCGCCCGAUGUCAGCUGGGAUUGGCUCCAGCACCCCCCACCCCCCCCCACCCCCCCACCCUGUAUGCAGGAUAAGCGGUUGACAAUGGAUGGAUGGAUGGUGUCCCAUUUUGCCACUACCGCCUGUAAAUAAGUGGUCUCAGACAUAUUAUGUUUGAGAUGGAGUCAUCGAUUCUGUGUUUGAUAAUUCUUUAUUUUUUCUUCAUUAUUGUAGUAUGGGGGUUAAUGUUUAUAGAAUAAAGCUAAUGUAAGCUAAUUUUAA